AUGAUUCGUGGGACGUCCUGCCGGUGGUGGCGAGGCGAAGGCGUGCACCCGUUGUGGUCUUCCACUUCGGUUCUUGCGCGCCGGAGGCGGACCCCGAUGAAAUCCUACCGCGGUGCUCUUCGCCGAGUGUCGAGGUGGGCCGGCACGUUUACUUUGAACAAAUUAAAGUGCUUAAAUCAGGCCUGUUGCGCCUGAAUACUGUGUGCAUGGAAUAAUGGAAUAGGACCUCGGUUCUAUUUUGUUGGUUUUCGGAACCCGAGGUAAUGAUUAAUAGGGACAGGCGGGGGCAUUCGUAUUGCGACGUUAGAGGUGAAAUUCUUGGAUCGUCGCAAGACGGACCGAAGCGAAAGCAUUUGCCAAGUAUGUUUUCAUUAAUCAAGAACGAAAGUUAGAGGUUCGAAGGCGAUCAGAUACCGCCCUAGUUCUAACCAUAAACGAUGCCAGCUAGCGAUCCGCCGAAGUUCCUCCGAUGACUCGGCGGGCAGCUCCCGGGAAACCAAAGCUUUUGGGUUCCGGGGGAAGUAUGGUUGCAAAGCUGAAACUUAAAGGAAUUGACGGAAGG
This 562-nucleotide ribosomal RNA is filed under the name Acrometopa syriaca. RNAcentral describes it as "SSU rRNA". It matches the Rfam family "Eukaryotic small subunit ribosomal RNA", at positions 720 to 1163 of the family's 1831-position model. The record is from RNAcentral. Lineage: Eukaryota; Metazoa; Arthropoda; Insecta; Orthoptera; Tettigoniidae.